RNAcentral lists this unclassified non-coding RNA (72 nucleotides) under Pseudomonas helmanticensis. The record is from RNAcentral. Lineage: Bacteria; Pseudomonadati; Pseudomonadota; Gammaproteobacteria; Pseudomonadales; Pseudomonadaceae.
AAAGAUCGCAGCCUGCGGCAGUUCCUACAGGAACACAUUCCCGUGUAGGAGCUGCCGCAGGCUGCGAUCUUU